UACGUAGGGGGCAAGCGUUGUCCGGAAUCAUUGGGCGUAAAGCGCGCGUAGGCGGCCCUGUAAGUCCGUUGUGAAAGUCAAAGGCUCAACCUUUGAAAGCCGAUGGAUACUGCAGGGCUAGAGUCCGGGAGAGGCGGGUGGAAUUCCUGGUGUAGCGGUGGAAUGCGCAGAUAUCAGGAGGAACACCAAUAGCGAAGGCAGCUCGCUGGGACGGUACUGACGCUAAGGCGCGAAAGCGUGGGGAGCGAACAGG
Molecule: ribosomal RNA, 253 nt
Filed under: uncultured bacterium
Lineage: Bacteria
Description: partial 16S ribosomal RNA
Rfam family: Bacterial small subunit ribosomal RNA
Source: RNAcentral